RNAcentral lists this transfer RNA (69 nucleotides) under Hyperolius marmoratus (marbled rush frog). Its description in RNAcentral is "tRNA-Glu". It matches the Rfam family "tRNA". Rfam says of the family: Transfer RNA (tRNA) molecules are approximately 80 nucleotides in length. Their secondary structure includes four short double-helical elements and three loops (D, anti-codon, and T loops). The record is from RNAcentral. Lineage: Eukaryota; Metazoa; Chordata; Amphibia; Anura; Hyperoliidae.
GUUCUUGUAGUUUAUUAAUAACAAUAGUUUUUCAGGCUAGAGGUCUGGGUUAAAAUCCCGGCAGGAAUU